This 429-nucleotide ribosomal RNA is filed under the name Bacteroidota bacterium. Its description in RNAcentral is "Bacteroidetes bacterium partial 16S ribosomal RNA". It matches the Rfam family "Bacterial small subunit ribosomal RNA", at positions 355 to 776 of the family's 1533-position model. Lineage: Bacteria; Pseudomonadati; Bacteroidota. The record is from RNAcentral.
UAGGGAAUCUUCGGCAAUGGGGGGAACCCUGACCGAGCAACGCCGCGUGAGUGAAGAAGGUUUUCGGAUCGUAAAGCUCUGUUGUUAAGGAAGAACGAGUGUGAGAAUGGAAAGUUCAUGCUGUGACGGUACUUAACCAGAAAGGGACGGCUAACUACGUGCCAGCAGCCGCGGUAAUACGUAGGUCCCGAGCGUUGUCCGGAUUUAUUGGGCGUAAAGCGAGCGCAGGCGGUUAGAUAAGUCUGAAGUUAAAGGCAGUGGCUCAACCAUUGUAGGCUUUGGAAACUGUUUAACUUGAGUGCAGAAGGGGAGAGUGGAAUUCCAUGUGUAGCGGUGAAAUGCGUAGAUAUAUGGAGGAACACCGGUGGCAAAAGCGGCUCUCUGGUCUGUAACUGACGCUGAGGCUCGAAAGCGUGGGGAGCGAACAGG